Molecule: ribosomal RNA, 253 nt
Filed under: uncultured bacterium
Lineage: Bacteria
Description: partial 16S ribosomal RNA
Rfam family: Bacterial small subunit ribosomal RNA
Source: RNAcentral
UACAGAGGGUGCGAGUGUUGUUCGGAAUUACUGGGCGUAAAGCGCGCGUAGGCGGCUUUGCAAGUCGGGUGUGAAAUCCCCAGGCUUAACCUGGGAACUGCAUUCGAGACUGCAUUGCUAGAGUAUGGGAGAGGGAAGUGGAAUUUCCGGUGUAGCGGUGAAAUGCGUAGAUAUCGGAAGGAACAUCAGUGGCGAAAGCGACUUCCUGGACCAGUACCGACGUUCAGGCACGAAAGCGUGGGGAGCAAACAGG